CCCCUUGCUUAUGCUCGCUUGCGUGCUCUCUCUCUGUCAAAUAAAUAAAAUCUUAAAAAAAAAAAAUAGAAGCUGAUUUCACAGCAAAUUUGAGACUCUGAGAUCAGAAGAGC
This is a long non-coding RNA of Neomonachus schauinslandi (Hawaiian monk seal), 113 nucleotides long. RefSeq lists it as uncharacterized. The record is from RefSeq and is a predicted model, not a curated record. The transcript is spliced from 3 exons. Lineage: Eukaryota; Metazoa; Chordata; Mammalia; Carnivora; Phocidae.